AGGGUGGGGGGGGUGCUUACACAUGCAGUCGAACGGUGAAGCCAAGCUUGCUUGGUGGAUCAGUGGCGAACGGGUGAGUAACACGUGAGCAACCUGCCCUGGACUCUGGGAUAAGCGCUGGAAACGGCGUCUAAUACUGGAUAUGAGACGUGAUCGCAUGGUCGUGUUUGGAAAGAUUUUUCGGUCUGGGAUGGGCUCGCGGCCUAUCAGCUUGUUGGUGAGGUAAUGGCUCACCAAGGCGUCGACGGGUAGCCGGCCUGAGAGGGUGACCGGCCACACUGGGACUGAGACACGGCCCAGACUCCUACGGGAGGCAGCAGUGGGGAAUAUUGCACAAUGGGCGGAAGCCUGAUGCAGCAACGCCGCGUGAGGGAUGACGGCCUUCGGGUUGUAAACCUCUUUUAGCAGGGAAGAAGCGAAAGUGACGGUACCUGCAGAAAAAGCGCCGGCUAACUACGUGCCAGCAGCCGCGGUAAUACGUAGGGCGCAAGCGUUAUCCGGAAUUAUUGGGCGUAAAGAGCUCGUAGGCGGUUUGUCGCGUCUGCUGUGAAAUCCCGAGGCUCAACCUCGGGCCUGCAGUGGGUACGGGCAGACUAGAGUGCGGUAGGGGAGAUUGGAAUUCCUGGUGUAGCGGUGGAAUGCGCAGAUAUCAGGAGGAACACCGAUGGCGAAGGCAGAUCUCUGGGCCGUAACUGACGCUGAGGAGCGAAAGGGUGGGGAGCAAACAGGCUUAGAUACCCUGGUAGUCCACCCCGUAAACGUUGGGAACUAGUUGUGGGGACCAUUCCACGGUUUCCGUGACGCAGCUAACGCAUUAAGUUCCCCGCCUGGGGAGUACGGCCGCAAGGCUAAAACUCAAAGGAAUUGACGGGGACCCGCACAAGCGGCGGAGCAUGCGGAUUAAUUCGAUGCAACGCGAAGAACCUUACCAAGGCUUGACAUAUACGAGAACGGGCCAGAAAUGGUCAACUCUUUGGACACUCGUAACAGGUGGUGCAUG
RNAcentral lists this ribosomal RNA (1000 nucleotides) under Microbacterium sp. HBUM178228. RNAcentral describes it as "bacterial SSU rRNA". It matches the Rfam family "Bacterial small subunit ribosomal RNA", at positions 32 to 1047 of the family's 1533-position model. Lineage: Bacteria; Bacillati; Actinomycetota; Actinomycetes; Micrococcales; Microbacteriaceae. The record is from RNAcentral.